This 253-nucleotide ribosomal RNA is filed under the name uncultured bacterium. RNAcentral's name for it is "partial 16S ribosomal RNA". It matches the Rfam family "Bacterial small subunit ribosomal RNA", at positions 524 to 776 of the family's 1533-position model. The record is from RNAcentral.
GACAGAGGGUGCAAACGUUGUUCGGAAUUACUGGGCGUAAAGCGUGUGUAGGCGGUCCACUAAGUCGGAUGUGAAAGCCCUGGGCUCAACCCAGGAAGUGCACUCGAAACUGGCGGGCUAGAGUAUCGGAGAGGUUGGUGGAAUUCUCGGUGUAGAGGUGAAAUUCGUAGAUAUCGGGAGGAAUACCAGUGGCGAAGGCGGCGACCUGGGCCAAUACUGACGCUGAGGUGCGAAAGCGUGGGGAGCAAACAGG